This 492-nucleotide ribosomal RNA is filed under the name uncultured bacterium. RNAcentral describes it as "partial 16S ribosomal RNA". It matches the Rfam family "Bacterial small subunit ribosomal RNA", at positions 29 to 507 of the family's 1533-position model. The record is from RNAcentral.
AGUGAACGCUGGCGGUAGGCCUAACACAUGCAAGUCGAACGGCAGCACAGUAAGAGCUUGCUCUUACGGGUGGCGAGUGGCGGACGGGUGAGGAAUAUAUCGGAAUCUACUUUUUCGUGGGGGAUAACGUAGGGAAACUUACGCUAAUACCGCAUACGACCUACGGGUGAAAGCAGGGGAUCUUCGGACCUUGCGCGAUUGAAUGAGCCGAUGUCGGAUUAGCUAGUUGGCGGGGUAAAGGCCCACCAAGGCGACGAUCCGUAGCUGGUCUGAGAGGAGGAUCAGCCACACUGGAACUGAGACACGGUCCAGACUCCUACGGGAGGCAGCAGUGGGGAAUAUUGGACAAUGGGCGCAAGCCUGAUCCAGCCAUACCGCGUGGGUGAAGAAGGCCUUCGGGUUGUAAAGCCCUUUUGUUGGGAAAGAAAAGCAGCAGGUUAAUACCCCGCUGUUCUGACGGUACCCAAAGAAUAAGCACCGGCUAACUUCGUG